AUACGUAGGAACCAAGCGUUGUCCGGAAUUACUGGGUGUAAAGGGUGCGCAGGCGGAUUUGUGCGUCAAGGGUUAAAUACCUCGGCUCAACCGAGGAAAUGCCUUUGAUACGGCAAGUCUUGAGUACGAGAGAGGAUGGUAGAAUUCCUGGUGUAGCGGUGAAAUGCGUAGAUAUCAGGAGGAAUACCCGUGGCGAAGGCGGCCAUCUGGCUCGUUACUGACGCUCAGGCACGAAAGCGUGGGGAGCAAACAGGAUUAGAAACCCCAGUAGUCC
This 274-nucleotide ribosomal RNA is filed under the name uncultured bacterium. RNAcentral's name for it is "partial 16S ribosomal RNA". It matches the Rfam family "Bacterial small subunit ribosomal RNA", at positions 523 to 796 of the family's 1533-position model. The record is from RNAcentral.